Non-coding RNA from Erythranthe guttata (spotted monkey flower), 761 nucleotides. The record is from RefSeq and is a predicted model, not a curated record. Lineage: Eukaryota; Viridiplantae; Streptophyta; Magnoliopsida; Lamiales; Phrymaceae.
AAUUAUUAAAAGCUUAUAUUCACACAGUUUGAGUUCUUACCCUAAACCCGUUUGGGUCUUCUCUAACUUCACAAAUUAUCAGCCAAACUCAACUUCUCUUCGACGGCAUUCCGUGACCUGAGAGAAAAUUGAAGUCCUAUGAUUGUUCAUAAAGGGGAAGGCUCGAGGGAGAGUUAUCUACUUACGGAGUGCUUUCCAACGAAUUUACUUGAAGGAGUCGAAUGAAGGGACGAAACAGAGGGUGUUGAUUUAGCACACUGUGGGAAGAAAACAAACUUUGGUUUCUCAAAAUGUAAAUCUGGUAGAUGUCGAGCUGUCGAAGCUACACGCGAGUUCCAACUUUCUGGCAUAGGAUAGCAGAUUUGUGUUUGGUGUUGGCGUCGUAUUACGAAAAUGGUUAAGAAUGAUGAAAUUGAAUGCAUCUUCUUACAACAAGGAUAGGAUUCUUGGAAUGAUGGCAUAAUAUGAAAACUGAUUUUAAAGAUUAGAAUAUGGAGAAAAAGCUAGACUCACGAGGGAAGAGCAAACCUUGAAAGGAAGAAAACAACUUGGCAGUGUGCGAGUAGUUAUCCAGACGACUCUUGUAUUAGUUGUGAGUGAGUUAUCCACAUGACUCUUGUCUUGUAUUAGUUGUGAGCGAGUUAUCCACGUGACUCUUGUAUAUGUUGUAGGUUGCAACUGAAUAUUAGUUGUGAUUUUGUUGCCAUCUCAUCAGAGUAAAUGUAAUUGACUGAGAAUUUUAAUGAUUUUAUUUGAAAACA